AUUGAACGCUGGCGGCAGGCCUAACACAUGCAAGUCGAACGGUAACAGAAAGCAGCUUGCUGCUUUGCUGACGAGUGGCGGACGGGUGAGUAAUGUCUGGGAAACUGCCUGAUGGAGGGGGAUAACUACUGGAAACGGUAGCUAAUACCGCAUAACGUCGCAAGACCAAAGAGGGGGACCUUCGGGCCUCUUGCCAUCGGAUGUGCCCAGAGGGGAUUAGCUAGUAGGUGGGGUAACGGCUCACCUAGGCGACGAUCCCUAGCUGGUCUGAGAGGAUGACCAGCCACACUGGAAAUGAGACACGGUACAGACUCCUACGGGAGGCAGCAGUGGGGAAUAUUGCACAAUGGGCGCAAGCCUGAUGCAGCCAUGCCGCGUGUAUGAAGAAGGCCUUCGGGUUGUAAAGUACUUUCAGCGAGGAGGAAGGUGUUGAGGUUAAUAACCUCAGCAAUUGACGUUACUCGCAGAAGAAGCACCGGCUAACUCCGUGCCAGCCGCCGCCGUAA
RNAcentral lists this ribosomal RNA (506 nucleotides) under uncultured bacterium. Its description in RNAcentral is "partial 16S ribosomal RNA". It matches the Rfam family "Bacterial small subunit ribosomal RNA", at positions 30 to 523 of the family's 1533-position model. The record is from RNAcentral.